GAAUAUUGGUCAAUGGACGAAAGUCUGAACCAGCCAUGCCGCGUGCAGGAUGACAGCCCUAUGGGUCGUAAACUGCUUUUAUACAGGAAGAAACCCUCGUUCGUGAACGAGGCUGACGGUACUGUAAGAAUAAGGACCGGCUAACUCCGUGCCAGCAGCCGCGGUAAUACGGAGGGUCCAAGCGUUAUCCGGAUUUAUUGGGUUUAAAGGGUACGUAGGCGGAAGAUUAAGUCAGUAGUGAAAGCCUCCCGCUUAACGGGAGAACUGCUAUUGAUACUGGUUUUCUUGAAUAUAGUUGAAGUAGGCGGAAUACGACAUGUAGCGGUGAAAUGCAUAGAUAUGUCGUGGAACACCGAUUGCGAAGGCAGCUUACUAAGCUAUUAUUGACGCUGAUGUACGAAAGCGUGGGGAGCGAACAG
This 419-nucleotide ribosomal RNA is filed under the name uncultured bacterium. RNAcentral's name for it is "bacterial SSU rRNA". It matches the Rfam family "Bacterial small subunit ribosomal RNA", at positions 359 to 775 of the family's 1533-position model. The record is from RNAcentral.